UACGUAGGGUGCAAGCGUUAAUCGGAAUUACUGGGCGUAAAGCGUGCGCAGGCGGUUAUGCAAGACAGGUGUGAAAUCCCCGGGCUCAACCUGGGAACUGCAUUUGUGACUGCCUGGCUGGAGUGCGGCAGAGGGGGAUGGAAUUCCGCGUGUAGCAGUGAAAUGCGUAGAUAUGCGGAGGAACACCGAUGGCGAAGGCAAUCCCCUGGGCCUGCACUGACGCUCAUGCACGAAAGCGUGGGGAGCAAACAGG
RNAcentral lists this ribosomal RNA (253 nucleotides) under uncultured bacterium. RNAcentral's name for it is "partial 16S ribosomal RNA". It matches the Rfam family "Bacterial small subunit ribosomal RNA", at positions 524 to 776 of the family's 1533-position model. The record is from RNAcentral.